This 1007-nucleotide ribosomal RNA is filed under the name Salmonella enterica. RNAcentral's name for it is "bacterial SSU rRNA". It matches the Rfam family "Bacterial small subunit ribosomal RNA", at positions 1 to 997 of the family's 1533-position model. The record is from RNAcentral. Lineage: Bacteria; Pseudomonadati; Pseudomonadota; Gammaproteobacteria; Enterobacterales; Enterobacteriaceae.
AAAUUGAAGAGUUUGAUCAUGGCUCAGAUUGAACGCUGGCGGCAGGCCUAACACAUGCAAGUCGAACGGUAACAGGAAGCAGCUUGCUGCUUUGCUGACGAGUGGCGGACGGGUGAGUAAUGUCUGGGAAACUGCCUGAUGGAGGGGGAUAACUACUGGAAACGGUGGCUAAUACCGCAUAACGUCGCAAGACCAAAGAGGGGGACCUUCGGGCCUCUUGCCAUCAGAUGUGCCCAGAUGGGAUUAGCUUGUUGGUGAGGUAACGGCUCACCAAGGCGACGAUCCCUAGCUGGUCUGAGAGGAUGACCAGCCACACUGGAACUGAGACACGGUCCAGACUCCUACGGGAGGCAGCAGUGGGGAAUAUUGCACAAUGGGCGCAAGCCUGAUGCAGCCAUGCCGCGUGUAUGAAGAAGGCCUUCGGGUUGUAAAGUACUUUCAGCGGGGAGGAAGGUGUUGCGGUUAAUAACCGCAGCAAUUGACGUUACCCGCAGAAGAAGCACCGGCUAACUCCGUGCCAGCAGCCGCGGUAAUACGGAGGGUGCAAGCGUUAAUCGGAAUUACUGGGCGUAAAGCGCACGCAGGCGGUCUGUCAAGUCGGAUGUGAAAUCCCCGGGCUCAACCUGGGAACUGCAUUCGAAACUGGCAGGCUUGAGUCUUGUAGAGGGGGGUAGAAUUCCAGGUGUAGCGGUGAAAUGCGUAGAGAUCUGGAGGAAUACCGGUGGCGAAGGCGGCCCCCUGGACAAAGACUGACGCUCAGGUGCGAAAGCGUGGGGAGCAAACAGGAUUAGAUAUCCUGGUAGUCCACGCCGUAAACGAUGUCUACUUGGAGGUUGUGCCCUUGAGGCGUGGCUUCCGGAGCUAACGCGUUAAGUAGACCGCCUGGGGAGUACGGCCGCAAGGUUAAAACUCAAAUGAAUUGACGGGGGCCCGCACAAGCGGUGGAGCAUGUGGUUUAAUUCGAUGCAACGCGAAGAACCUUACCUGGUCUUGACAUCCACAGAACU